AGUCCACAUCGACGGGGAGGUUUGGCACCUCGAUGUCGGCUCAUCACAUCCUGGGGCUGUAGUAGGUCCCAAGGGUUGGGCUGUUCGCCCAUUAAAGUGGUACGCGAGCUGGGUUCAGAACGUCGUGGGACAGUUCGGUCCCUAUCCGUCGCAGGCGUAGGAAAUUUGGGAAGACCUGUCCUUAGUACGAGAGGACCGGGAUGGACGUACCUCUGGUGUACCAGUUGU
RNAcentral lists this ribosomal RNA (228 nucleotides) under Clostridioides difficile. RNAcentral describes it as "partial 23S ribosomal RNA". It matches the Rfam family "Bacterial large subunit ribosomal RNA", at positions 2497 to 2724 of the family's 2925-position model. Lineage: Bacteria; Bacillati; Bacillota; Clostridia; Peptostreptococcales; Peptostreptococcaceae. The record is from RNAcentral.